CAGGCUUUAUUGUUCUGUCUCUGGGACCUAGCAGGUGACCCUGGGCAAGUUACUUCUCAUUUGUCCGGCAAGGACGCUAAACUCUGCCUUGCUGGGUCAGGGUCAUGGAGGGGAUGAAAUGUGAUAACACGAGGAAGCAGCCUGGGCUUCAGAGGCAGUAGAUCCUGGUCUGGUCCCAGCUCAGUGUGUGGGAACCUUGGUCACCGAACGUCCCUGAGUGAAUUUUUUUCCAUCACUUUAAAGUUGGGGGUAUUAUUGAUAGCAGUCCAAACCCCACAGGAGUACCCUGAGGACAGAGUGAGACGAGGUUUAGAGAAGUGCUUACUAUGGCAUCUGGCACAAGGAGGACUCCUGAUCAAUCUAAUACUCAUUUAUCAUUGUGGUUAACCUGUUUAAGGGACUCCGCAUGCAGAUGAGGCUUGGGAUGUGUUUGUUUUCUACCUUUUUGCAACCUCUUUUAUUGGUCUGUGUCGGUUUUCCCCUCCCAAAGCUGGGGGCAGGGUUGGGCUUUAUAAAACUUGAGCCCCUCUGGGGACUGGGUUCUCAGCAAGUUACCGCUCCUGCCAUCAUGCCACCCUGAUGGAUGUCCAAGCCUCACUUCCCUCCUGCACUCCCCGCUCCCGCCGCCGUCCCUGGGAUUAAGGGAGAGGAGAAUGGCUGCUUGUUACUGCCUACCUACUCUGUGCCAGGUUCUAUGCUCUGUGUUAUUUAUCAUCUCGAUAACCCCAUGGGGAAGGUAAGUGGUAUUAUCACCCCUGUUUCACAGGUGAGAAAACUGAGGCCUGUGGCGGUUAAUUAUUACUGUUAGUGCGUGGCAGGCUCAAGAUUUGAAACCAGGUCUGUCCUGAAUCCACAUCCUUCCCCUGACCUCGACACAAGUACAUUCUUGUCAUUCCUUUCACUCCAGGAUUGGAGUCUCUCCCUCAUUAUGCUGGGCUGGGAAGAAGCAAAUGGCUUAGUGGUCAGCAGUGUGGAUUUGCAAAUCAGACCACCUGGGUUCAGAUCUUAGGUCUGACAGCUGUGUUACCCUGGGCAAGUCCUCACCUUUCUGUGCCUGUCCCCUCUUUGCUGUAAAAUGGGGGUACUAAUACUUAAGUCUUCCCUUCCCCCACAGUUGCUACUAACAAACAGAAAAACGGUACCCAUGUGCUCCAGGGUCACCUCUGACCUUCUUUUUUUCCUCCAGAUGUCCAGCUCGCCGCUGUCCAAGAAACGUCGCGUGUCCGGGCCUGAUCCAAAGCCGGGUUCUAACUGCUCCCCUGCCCAGUCCGUGUUGUCCGAAGUGCCCUCGGUGCCAACCAACGGAAUGGCCAAGAACGGCAGUGAAGCAGACAUAGACGAGGGCCUUUACUCCCGGCAGCUGUAAGUG
RNAcentral lists this long non-coding RNA (1369 nucleotides) under Pan troglodytes (chimpanzee). RNAcentral describes it as "long non-coding RNA NONPTRT018584". The record is from RNAcentral. Lineage: Eukaryota; Metazoa; Chordata; Mammalia; Primates; Hominidae.